AACUUAAGCAUAUCAAUAAGCGGAGGAAAAGAAACUAACCAGGAUUCCCUUAGUAACUGCGAGUGAAGUGGGAAGAGCUCAAAUUUGUAAUCUGGUGGCCCUCGGCCGUCCGAGUUGUAAUCUAAAGAAGUGCUACCUGUGCUGGACCGUGUACAAGUCUUCUGGAAUGGAGCAUCAUAGAGGGUGAGAAUCCCGUCUUUGACAUGGACUGCCAGUGCUCCGUAGGUGCGCUCUCGAAGAGUCGAGUUGUUUGGGAAUGCAGCUCAAAAUGGGUGGUAAAUGCCAUCUAAAGCUAAAUAUUGGCGAGAGACCGAUAGCGAACAAGUACCGUGAGGGAAAGAUGAAAAGAACUUUGGAAAGAGAGUUAAACAGUACGUGAAAUUGCUGAAAGGGAAACGCUUGAAGUCAGUCGCGUCGGGUCGGAAAUCAACCUUGCUUCUGCUGGGUGCACUUUCCGUCUGACGGGUCAGCAUCGAUUUCGGCCGCUGGAUAAAGUCCUUUGGGAACGUGGCAUCCUCGGAUGUGUUAUAGCCCUUGGGACGUAUGCGGCGGCUGGGAUCGAGGAACUCAGCACGCCUCCUCUGGCUGGGCUUUGUCCACACGAACGUGCUUAGGAUGCUGGCGUAAUGGCUUUAAUCGACCCGUCUUGAAACACGGACCAAGGAGUCUAACAUGCCUGCGAGUGUUUGGGUGGAAAACUCAUGCGCRCAAUGAAAGUGACGGUUGAGAUCCCCGUCGUGGGGAGCAUCGACGCCCAGACCAGACCUUUUGCGACGGAUCUGCGGUGGAGCAUGCAUGUUGGGACCCGAAAGAUGGUGAACUAUGCCUGAAUAGGGUGAAGCCAGAGGAAACUCUGGUGGAGGCUUGUAGCGAUUCUGACGUGCAAAUCGAUCGUCAAAUUUGGGUAUAGGGGCGAAAGACUAAUCGAACCAUCUAGUAGCUGGUUCCUGCCGAAGUU
RNAcentral lists this ribosomal RNA (958 nucleotides) under Inosperma maculatum. RNAcentral describes it as "partial large subunit ribosomal RNA". The record is from RNAcentral. Lineage: Eukaryota; Fungi; Basidiomycota; Agaricomycetes; Agaricales; Inocybaceae.